This is a long non-coding RNA of Helianthus annuus (common sunflower), 1452 nucleotides long. RefSeq lists it as uncharacterized. NCBI's taxonomy places the organism in Eukaryota, Viridiplantae, Streptophyta, Magnoliopsida, Asterales, Asteraceae. The transcript has 4 exons. The record is from RefSeq and is a predicted model, not a curated record.
GAUUCAGAGUCGGGAGUAUAAGAGAAAGAUAAUACAGUAAAGAGAGAGAGAGAGUUAUGGGCUGACCACCAAUCUUUACGGCGGAUUGACGGUGGCGCAACGGCGGUGACAUCACAAUCCGGCGUGUACGCUUCAACAACUCGCUAACCGCAGGACGAGGGUUCCGCCGCAAACACAACCAUAGCGGCGAGUAUGGUUGUUCUUCCGUGACAUUGGAAGCCAAUCCAGCCAAACGAAAUACGUAUUCUAACGAACGAGGUAUUUUUAUUCCGAGUGUGGACAGAUACAAUGAAGACAACGAGCAUCAUGAGCGCUCAAACACAAGACCACUGCUUGAGCGAAUGUCGCCAAACAUACCAGCUUAAAUACAUGUGCUUCAGUUUUGUUAUGGGUGUGGAAGUGCAUAUAUAAACACUCACAUGUGUGCUUCCGUUUAACGUUUUUGUUAGUAGCAAGUUGUUUGCUAAUAAAUUCGGAAAAUCAUUUGGACAACCAUUCGGACAGGUGAAGCAGAUAAAACUCAAAGGACAAAGCGCACUCACUAUGAACAAACGAGUACAAGACAUCCUCCUACACCUUCAAAUUUUUGCAUUACAACCUUUUUGUUUUAGAUAUUCCUUUAUAGAAGGUAUAAAAAAUGCUUAAACGAUGGCCCAUGUUGUUGCAUAUAUAAAAAUUGUAGCUACUGUAACUAAACAUUAGCAAUCUAACAGAACUGAAAUACCCCGCCGCACCGCGGCGGGUCAUCCUCUCUCUAGUAUAAUAACAAUUGCUGAAAGUCCUUAGGAACAGUUCCCGUUCCCAAGUUUCACAUGACCGACAUCUGCCGGUCUUCAACAUACCGCUGAAAACACAAGCCCAUCGUCCUUUUACGUUUUCAGAUUUGCUCAAUCAGGCGGCGUUGGCGGUGCUACUAUUGCGGCAGAAACUAGGAUUAUGUAGUUGAAGGCGGUGAUGGUGGUUGCCGGCAUCAAAGCAGGUUGACGGCCAUGGGUACAGAAGAGGACUGAGGCAAAUAAGAAAUCGCUCCUCUGCGGUGACUUCUCCACCACCGACAUCAACUCUCAACUUGAAAUCAUUUGCCGUCGACAUCAACUCUCGACUUCAAAUCGCCUUUUUGCGUAGACUUGACCACCAUUAACAUCAAAAUUGGUAAUCGUUUCUUUUCGUUUGUGCUCUUCACAAUCUUUCCAGCCGGUUCAGUUUUUACCUUUGCAUUUUUUCUUCUUUAAAUAAUUUGUUGAUCCAGAGGUUUCUCUUAUUGGGUUGAAUUGUUGUUCACCAGGUUUAAUUUUUAGGUUUCGUAGAUUGUUUAGGGUUUAGAAUUUAAAAACAUUUUGUGAUUGCUUUUAAAGAAUAAUCAUUGGGUAUAUGUAAAUGGCUGAAGAUACAGGUUGACCUUUAACUUACAAAUUCAACAUAAUGGGUUGAAAUUGAAGGCCAAUUUUUUAA